This 253-nucleotide ribosomal RNA is filed under the name uncultured bacterium. RNAcentral describes it as "partial 16S ribosomal RNA". It matches the Rfam family "Bacterial small subunit ribosomal RNA", at positions 524 to 776 of the family's 1533-position model. The record is from RNAcentral.
UACGUAGGGUCCAAGCGUUGUCCGGAUUUAUUGGGCGUAAAGAGCUCGUAGGCGGUUUGUCGCGUCUGCCGUGAAAGUCCGGGGCUCAACUCCGGAUCUGCGGUGGGUACGGGCAGACUAGAGUGAUGUAGGGGAGACUGGAAUUCCUGGUGUAGCGGUGAAAUGCGCAGAUAUCAGGAGGAACACCGAUGGCGAAGGCAGGUCUCUGGGCAUUAACUGACGCUGAGGAGCGAAAGCAUGGGGAGCGAACAGG